CAGUCGCCGCGGUAAUACGAAGGGGGCUAGGGUUGUUCGGAAUUACUGGGCGUAAAGCGCACGUAGGCGGUUUUGUAAGUCAGAGGUGAAAGCCCGGAGCUCAACUCCGGAACUGCAUUUAAGACUGCAUCGCUUGAACGUCGGAGAGGUGAGUGGAAUUCCGAGUGUAGAGGUGAAAUUCGUAGAUAUUCGGAGGAACACCAGUGGCGAAGGCGGCUCACUGGUCCAUUACUGACGCUGAGGUGCGAAAGCGUGGGGAGCAAACAGGAUUAGAUACCCGAGUAGUCCCUGUCUCUUAUAC
Molecule: ribosomal RNA, 301 nt
Filed under: uncultured bacterium
Lineage: Bacteria
Description: partial 16S ribosomal RNA
Rfam family: Bacterial small subunit ribosomal RNA
Source: RNAcentral